GACGAACGCUGGCGGCGUGCUUAACACAUGCAAGUCGAACGGAAAGGCCUCUUUCGGUGGGUACUCGAGUGGCGAACGGGUGAGUAACACGUGAGUAACCUGCCCUUGACUUUGGGAUAACUUCAGGAAACUGGGGCUAAUACCGGAUAGGAGCUCCUGCUGCAUGGUGGGGGUUGGAAAGUUUCGGCGGUUGGGGAUGGACUCGCGGCUUAUCAGCUUGUUGGUGGGGGAGUGGCUUACUAAGGCUUUGACGGGUAGCCGGCGUCAGAGGGUGACCGGCCACAUUGGGACUGAGAUAAGGCCCAGGCUCCUAAGGGAGGCAGCAGUGGGGAAUAUUGCACAAUGGGUGGAAGCCUGAUGCAGCAACGCCGUGUGCGGGAGGACGGCUUUCGGGUUGAAAACCGCCUUCGCUCAUGACCACGCUUUGUGUGACGGUAGUGGGUAAAGAAGCACCGGCUAACUACGUG
Molecule: ribosomal RNA, 467 nt
Filed under: uncultured bacterium
Lineage: Bacteria
Description: partial 16S ribosomal RNA
Rfam family: Bacterial small subunit ribosomal RNA
Source: RNAcentral